GCUUCGAAGGAGGUUUAUUUUGAGACACCGCCCGUUCUCUUGUGGACUUCUGUUUUGAAGAGAGUUUCACUGCUCUUUUUAAAAUACCACUCUGUCACUGAGAGCAAAUUGGAGUGCUCAAAGCAGCUUGAUAGCUUGAACAUUUUAGCUUGGGAAUGACAGAUAUGACUUUUUGUUUUUAUUUUUGUUGGUUAUGAAAUAAAAAGUAAUGAUUACAGACAGCGCGAGUAUCGUAUUGAAAGGUCAGAGGUGAAAUUCUUGGAUUCUUCAAGACGAACAACUGCGAAAGCAUUUACCAAGGAUGUUUUCAUUAAUCAAGAACGAAAGCUCGGGGAUCGAAGAUGAUUAGAUACCAUCGUAGUCCGACGCCAUAAACGAUGCCGACUCGGGAUUGUUUUGUUUAUUCAAAUUUGAAACGAAUCAAAGCAGCACCGUAUGAGAAAUCAAAGUCUUUGGGUUCCGGGGGGAGUAUGGUCGCAAGGCUGAAACUUAAAGGAAUUGACGGAAGGGCACACCAGAGGUGGAGCCUGCGGUUUAAUUUGACUCAACACGGGGAAACUUACCAGGUCCAGACAUGAUGAGGAUUGACAGUUUGAAAGCACUUUCUUGAUUUCAUGGGUGGUGGUGCAUGGCCGUUCUUAGUUGGUGGAGUGAUUUGUCUGGUUGAUUCCGAUAACGAACGAGACGGGGGGAGUUUACUAGCAUGUCCUGUAACUCACGUUACAAAGGAGGCUUCUUUACUCGACAACUUG
Molecule: ribosomal RNA, 752 nt
Filed under: uncultured eukaryote
Lineage: Eukaryota
Description: bacterial SSU rRNA
Rfam family: Eukaryotic small subunit ribosomal RNA
Source: RNAcentral